AGAUAUGGCUGCUAUGAAAUCUGCUUCUGAUGUGAAGAAAGAUCUCAGCUCUGCAAAAAAUUUUAGACUCUGGAUUCUGUUAUCUUCCUGUGAAUAGUACCACAUUUUUUAUAGCAGACAGAUUAGUUAUAGGCCAAUUGUCUUGUCUCCUUCCAAAGGAGAAUGAAGGGGUGUUUACAUUUUUUAAUCCUUAUGUUGCGCUCUGACAUGAGGUGUCCUUCCUCACUGAAGCUCAAACAAAAAGAUUAACUUGAAGUAUGUACUACACUGCUACACACUUCUGAAACUGGAGUACAGUUUCAACUCUGUGCAGGGAGGGUGCAUGAGAGCAGAAUAUCUGUGGGACAUCUCUCUGGAACAUCAAUAUUACUACAGGAUUUGGAAGAAAAAAUUAAAAAAAUUUCCAAGAGUGAUAAGGGGACUCUCCAACUGUACCACCUGUCAUCUGAGCAUACUCCAGCCCAUGACCAUCAGCCCCAGCACCUCCAGAUUGGCAAAGCAUCAGAACU
RNAcentral lists this long non-coding RNA (509 nucleotides) under Homo sapiens (human). RNAcentral describes it as "non-protein coding lnc-SLC13A1-1:2". The record is from RNAcentral. Lineage: Eukaryota; Metazoa; Chordata; Mammalia; Primates; Hominidae.